GACGAACGCUGGCGGCGUGCUUAACACAUGCAAGUCGAACGGAAAGGCCCUGCUUUUGUGGGGUGCUCGAGUGGCGAACGGGUGAGUAACACGUGAGUAACCUGCCCUUGACUUUGGGAUAACUUCAGGAAACUGGGGCUAAUACCGGAUAGGAGCUCCUGCUGCAUGGUGGGGGUUGGAAAGUUUCGGCGGUUGGGGAUGGACUCGCGGCUUAUCAGCUUGUUGGUGGGGUAGUGGCUUACCAAGGCUUUGACGGGUAGCCGGCCUGGGAGGGUGGCCGGCCUCAUGGGGACUGAGGUACGGCCCAGACUCCUACGGGAGGCAGCAGUGGGGAAUAUUGCACAAUGGGCGGAAGCCUGAUGCAGCAACGCCGCGUGCGGGAUGACGGCCUUCGGGUUGUAAACCGCUUUCGCCUGUGACGAAGCGUGAGUGACGGUAAUGGGUAAAGAAGCACCGGCUAACUACGUG
This 468-nucleotide ribosomal RNA is filed under the name uncultured bacterium. Its description in RNAcentral is "partial 16S ribosomal RNA". It matches the Rfam family "Bacterial small subunit ribosomal RNA", at positions 28 to 507 of the family's 1533-position model. The record is from RNAcentral.